RNAcentral lists this ribosomal RNA (433 nucleotides) under uncultured bacterium. RNAcentral describes it as "partial 16S ribosomal RNA". It matches the Rfam family "Bacterial small subunit ribosomal RNA", at positions 28 to 507 of the family's 1533-position model. The record is from RNAcentral.
GAUGAACGCUGGCGGCAUGCCUAACACAUGCAAGUCGAACGAGACCUUCGGGUUUAUUUGCUUCCGGGCUGGUAAUGCUUUGAAACAGUCCCUUACGGGUGAGUUACCCGCCCGUAACGGGUCCUAAUACCGGAGAAUAUCUUCGGACCAAAGAUCUAUUGCCUUUUGAUGGGCCCGCGUUGGAUUAGCUAGUUGGUUGGGUAACAGCCUACCAAGGCGACGAUCCAUAGCUGUACUGAGAGGGUGACCUGCCACACUGGGACUGAGACACGGCCCAGACUCCUACGGGAGGCAGCAGUGGGGAAUAUUGGACAAUGGGCGAAAGCCUGAUCCAGCGACGCCGCGUGAGUGAUGAAGGACUUAGGGUUGUAAAGCUCUUUUAGCCGGGAUGAUAAUGACAGUACCGGGAGAAGAAGCACCGGCUAACUACGUG